Micropterus dolomieu (smallmouth bass) is the source of this 741-nucleotide long non-coding RNA. RefSeq lists it as uncharacterized. The transcript is spliced from 2 exons. The record is from RefSeq and is a predicted model, not a curated record. Lineage: Eukaryota; Metazoa; Chordata; Actinopteri; Centrarchiformes; Centrarchidae.
CUUUAACCAUGUACUGUGAUUUCAUGUAGAGAAAAAACAAUUUGGAUAUUUGGAGAGAUGGCAGACGGGUUUCUAUCGGCGAAAACGAAAGAUUAUUUCUUUUAAAAUUAACCCAAAAGAAAACUUGGGGCUGUUGCCAGUUCCACUGUGCGUGUGACAGCGGCUAACCUGGUUUUGGGAGUACUUCUCAUCUUUUGGCUCGUCCAAGACCAGCCACGGCCGGACUGGAAAGACACCCAUCUACAAGCACUCCUUGAUCGUGUCCCGUGCACAUUGCCUGUUCAACACGACCGCUCUCCCAGCGGUCUCCAUGUGAACUGUAGCCUACUUCCUCCUAUGUUCACAUAUUUUCUCUUAUUUAGGGCCAGUUGCUCUUGCAUUGGCCCCUAUGGAGCCGUCCUCUUUUAUGCCACCUACUGUCAAGACUGUUGGUGAGUGUUUUGUUUCAGUUUCUGUUUCAUCUGUGUGGUGCAGACAACAUUAUCAUCAUCAAUCUCACUGGUUCCCAAUUUGAGGUCAGGGGCCCUCCAGGGGUCCUCCAAGAUGUUUUUUUUUGGGGGGGGGGGCGAUGUUCCAGCAAAAAUGAGACACUGAACUUGGUUUUAGAACAAAAUGGAUUACAAUAUAGUAAUGUGCCCACCCCUUUAAAUUAGGUAAUGAAAACCUAAUCAAUUGUAUCCAUACAUUAUAUGGUUGUAAAAAGUAACCCUCAAGUGAGAAGUAAAGUUUCUAUUCAAAUCA